UACGAAGGGGGCUAGCGUUGUUCGGAAUUACUGGGCGUAAAGCGCACGUAGGCGGACUAUUAAGUCAGGGGUGAAAUCCCAGGGCUCAACCCUGGAACUGCCUUCGAUACUGGCGAUCUUCGAGUCCGGGAGAGGUGAGUGGAACUCCGAGUGUAGAGGUGAAAUUCGUAGAUAUUCGGAAGAACACCAGUGGCGAAGGCGGCUCACUGGCCCGGUACUGACGCUGAGGUGCGAAAGCGUGGGGAGCAAACAGG
RNAcentral lists this ribosomal RNA (254 nucleotides) under uncultured bacterium. Its description in RNAcentral is "partial 16S ribosomal RNA". It matches the Rfam family "Bacterial small subunit ribosomal RNA", at positions 524 to 776 of the family's 1533-position model. The record is from RNAcentral.